This 468-nucleotide ribosomal RNA is filed under the name uncultured bacterium. Its description in RNAcentral is "partial 16S ribosomal RNA". It matches the Rfam family "Bacterial small subunit ribosomal RNA", at positions 28 to 507 of the family's 1533-position model. The record is from RNAcentral.
GACGAACGCUGGCGGCGUGCUUAACACAUGCAAGUCGAACGGAAAGGCCCUGCUUUUGUGGGGUGCUUGAGUGGCGAACGGGUGAGUAACACGUGAGUAACCUGCCCUUGACUUUGGGAUAACUUCAGGAAACUGGGGCUAAUACCGGAUAGGAGCUCUUGCUGCAUGGUGGGGGUUGGAAAGUUUCGGCGGUUGGGGAUGGACUCGCGGGUUAUCAGCUUGUUGGUGGGGUAGUGGCUUACCAAGGCUUUGACGGGUAGCCGGCCUGAGAGGUUGACCGGCCACAUUGGGACUGAGAGACGGCCCAGACUCCUACGGGAGGCAGCAGUGGGGAAUAUGGCACAAUGGGCGGAAGCCUGAUGCAGCAACGCCGCGUGCGGGAUGACGGCCUUCGGGUUGUAAACCGCUUUCGCCUGUGACGAAGCGUGAGUGACGGUAAUGGGUAAAGAAGCACCGGCUAACUACGUG